GACGAACGCUGGCGGCGUGCUUAACACAUGCAAGUCGUACGGUAAGGCCCUUUCGGGGGUACACAAGUGGCGAACGGGUGAGUAACACGUGAGUAACCUGCCCACAACUUUGGGAUAACGCUAGGAAACUGGUGCUAAUACUGGAUAUGUGCCCCUGCUGCAUGGUGGGGGUUGGAAAGCUCCGGCGGUUGUGGAUGGACUCGCGGCCUAUCAGCUUGUUGGUGGGGUAGUGGCCUACCAAGGCGGCGACGGGUAGCCGGCCUGAGAGGGUGACCGGCCACAUUGGGACUGGGAUACGGCCCAGACUCCUACGGGAGGCAGCAGUGGGGAAUAUUGCACAAUGGGCGCAAGCCUGAUGCAGCAACGCCGCGGGCGGGAUGACGGCCUUCGGGUUGUAAACCGCUUUCAGCAGGGACGAAGCUUUUUGUGACGGUACCUGCAGAAGAAGCACCGGCUAACUACGUG
Molecule: ribosomal RNA, 465 nt
Filed under: uncultured bacterium
Lineage: Bacteria
Description: partial 16S ribosomal RNA
Rfam family: Bacterial small subunit ribosomal RNA
Source: RNAcentral